UACAGAGGGGGCAAGCGUUGUUCGGAAUUACUGGGCGUAAAGGGCGCGUAGGUGGUUCUGUAUGUCUACCGUGAAAGCGUACGGCUCAACCGUAUUUUGUCGGUGGAAACUGCAGGACUUGAGGCUGGGAGGGGCUGGUGGAAUUCCCUGUGUAGCGGUGAAAUGCGUAGAGAUGGGGGAGAACACUCGUGGCGAAGGCGGCCAGCUAGACCAGUUCUGACACUGAGGCGCGACAGCGUGGGGAGCAAACAGG
RNAcentral lists this ribosomal RNA (253 nucleotides) under uncultured bacterium. Its description in RNAcentral is "partial 16S ribosomal RNA". It matches the Rfam family "Bacterial small subunit ribosomal RNA", at positions 524 to 776 of the family's 1533-position model. The record is from RNAcentral.